RNAcentral lists this unclassified non-coding RNA (816 nucleotides) under Hevea brasiliensis (rubber tree). The record is from RNAcentral. Lineage: Eukaryota; Viridiplantae; Streptophyta; Magnoliopsida; Malpighiales; Euphorbiaceae.
UGCCUUCUCUGGAAAGGAUCCCACUAAGGUGGAUCGCAGUGGUGCAUAUAUUGUCAGGCAGGCUGCAAAGAGUGUAGUGGCUUCAGGGCUUGCCCGACGCUGCAUUGUGCAAGUUUCUUAUGCAAUUGGUGUGCCUGAACCAUUAUCUGUGUUUGUGGACACUUACAAGACAGGGAAGAUCCCGGACAAAGAUAUACUGGUUUUAAUCAAGGACAAGUUUGAUUUCAGGCCAGGAAUGAUUGCUAUCAAUCUUGAUUUGAAGAGAGGCGGCAACUUCAGGUAUCAGAAGACUGCUGCCUAUGGACAUUUUGGCCGUGAUGACCCGGAUUUCACCUGGGAGACUGUUAAGCCUCUAAAACCUACGAAGGCUUAGAGUCAAUAUCCUCAUGUUUACUGUUUUUUCCUACUGCCGUUCUUUUCUGGCUUUCCCAUCUCCCUUUGAAACAGAAGAAGUUAAUCUACAAAUGGUUGUUUGGUUCAUUCAUUUAAAGGCCAUUUUGGAUAAAUUAGGCUAAGAUUUUGAGGAAUUUUGUAGUUGAACUUGAGGUUAAUAGCGGCAAUAGAUCUAGGUUCUUUUCAUUAUUCCUUUUGCUCAUCAUUUGUCAUAAUUUACCCCUUCUCCCAUUCUUUUCUAAGGAAGUAACAUUUGCUGCAAAAUUUAUUGGCCUUGGUCCCUUCUAUUGUUUUCAUUACUAUUUUAGCUACUUUGUCUUCUGAAUUUCUGUUUCUUUUCUCAUUUCUUGUUUAGUUUUAGAAAAGCGAUGGUAAUUAUUGGUGAUGAAUAUUAACUCCUCUAAAUAAAAAGGUUGAUAUGAA